GUAUACAGCCAUGCUACUCUGAACUAGCCCGAUCCCAUCUGAUCUCUGAAGCUAAGCAGAGUCGGGCCUGGUUCCUAUUUGGAUAGGAGACCACCUAGGAAUACCAGGUGCUGUAGGCA
Molecule: ribosomal RNA, 119 nt
Filed under: Pteropus alecto (black flying fox)
Lineage: Eukaryota; Metazoa; Chordata; Mammalia; Chiroptera; Pteropodidae
Source: RNAcentral